RNAcentral lists this ribosomal RNA (966 nucleotides) under Arthrobacter sp. Its description in RNAcentral is "bacterial SSU rRNA". It matches the Rfam family "Bacterial small subunit ribosomal RNA", at positions 531 to 1492 of the family's 1533-position model. Lineage: Bacteria; Bacillati; Actinomycetota; Actinomycetes; Micrococcales; Micrococcaceae. The record is from RNAcentral.
CGUACAAACGUUGCACGUAUCGGAUAUUGGGCGUAAGAGCUCGUAGGCGGUUUGUCGCGUCUGCUGUGAAAGACCGGGGCUCAACUCCGGUUCUGCAGUGGGUACGGGCAGACUAGAGUGCAGUAGGGGAGACUGGAAUUCCUGGUGUAGCGGUGAAAUGCGCAGAUAUCAGGAGGAACACCGAUGGCGAAGGCAGGUCUCUGGGCUGUAACUGACGCUGAGGAGCGAAAGCAUGGGGAGCGAACAGGAUUAGAUACCCUGGUAGUCCAUGCCGUAAACGUUGGGCACUAGGUGUGGGGGACAUUCCACGUUUUCCGCGCCGUAGCUAACGCAUUAAGUGCCCCGCCUGGGGAGUACGGCCGCAAGGCUAAAACUCAAAGGAAUUGACGGGGGCCCGCACAAGCGGCGGAGCAUGCGGAUUAAUUCGAUGCAACGCGAAGAACCUUACCAAGGCUUGACAUGAACCGGUAAUACCUGGAAACAGGUGCCCCGCUUGCGGUCGGUUUACAGGUGGUGCAUGGUUGUCGUCAGCUCGUGUCGUGAGAUGUUGGGUUAAGUCCCGCAACGAGCGCAACCCUCGUUCUAUGUUGCCAGCGCGUUAUGGCGGGGACUCAUAGGAGACUGCCGGGGUCAACUCGGAGGAAGGUGGGGACGACGUCAAAUCAUCAUGCCCCUUAUGUCUUGGGCUUCACGCAUGCUACAAUGGCCGGUACAAAGGGUUGCGAUACUGUGAGGUGGAGCUAAUCCCAAAAAGCCGGUCUCAGUUCGGAUUGGGGUCUGCAACUCGACCCCAUGAAGUCGGAGUCGCUAGUAAUCGCAGAUCAGCAACGCUGCGGUGAAUACGUUCCCGGGCCUUGUACACACCGCCCGUCAAGUCACGAAAGUUGGUAACACCCGAAGCCGGUGGCCUAACCCUUGUGGGGGGAGCCGUCGAAGGUGGGACCGGCGAUUGGACUAAGUCGUACC